GUUAAUGGCAUUAGAUCGUAAAUAAGUCCAAGUCCAGGAUUUAUUUGCUAAAAUGGCUGCAAAAAUGUAUAUAUAGAUGGUAGAUGGUGUAAUUAUUCCGUUGAUUAUAAGAGUUGU
Molecule: small RNA, 117 nt
Filed under: Arabidopsis thaliana (thale cress)
Lineage: Eukaryota; Viridiplantae; Streptophyta; Magnoliopsida; Brassicales; Brassicaceae
Description: ATSL087670
Source: RNAcentral